UACGUAGGGGGCGAGCGUUGUCCGGAUUUAUUGGGCGUAAAGAGCGUGUAGGCGGCUUGGCAAGUCCGCUGUGAAAACUCGAGGCUCAACCUCGAGACGUCGGUGGAAACUGCCUGGCUAGAGUCCGGAAGAGGAGAGUGGAAUUCCUGGUGUAGCGGUGAAAUGCGCAGAUAUCAGGAGGAACACCGGUGGCGAAGGCGGCUACCUGGACAGAAACUGACGCUGAGGCGCGAAAGCUAGGGGAGCAAACAGG
This 253-nucleotide ribosomal RNA is filed under the name uncultured bacterium. RNAcentral describes it as "partial 16S ribosomal RNA". It matches the Rfam family "Bacterial small subunit ribosomal RNA", at positions 524 to 776 of the family's 1533-position model. The record is from RNAcentral.